AGUGAACGCUGGCGGUAGGCUUAACACAUGCAAGUCGAACGGCAGCACAGUAAGAGCUUGCUCUUACGGGUGGCGAGUGGCGGACGGGUGAGGAAUACAUCGGAAUCUACUUUUUCGUGGGGGAUAACGUAGGGAAACUUACGCUAAUACCGCAUACGACCUACGGGUGAAAGCAGGGGAUCUUCGGACCUUGCGCGAUUGAAUGAGCCGAUGUCGGAUUAGCUAGUUGGCGGGGUAAAGGCCCACCAAGGCGACGAUCCGUAGCUGGUCUGAGAGGAUGAUCUGCCACACUGGAACUGAGACACGGUCCAGACUCCUACGGGAGGCAGCAGUGGGGAAUAUUGGACAAUGGGCGCAAGCCUGAUCCAGCCAUACCGCGUGGGUGAAGAAGGCCUUCGGGUUGUAAAGCCCUUUUGUUGGGAAAGAAAAGCAGCAGGUUAAUACCCCGCUGUUCUGACGGUACCCAAAGAAUAAGCACCGGCUAACUUCGUG
This 492-nucleotide ribosomal RNA is filed under the name uncultured bacterium. RNAcentral describes it as "partial 16S ribosomal RNA". It matches the Rfam family "Bacterial small subunit ribosomal RNA", at positions 29 to 507 of the family's 1533-position model. The record is from RNAcentral.